This 26149-nucleotide long non-coding RNA is filed under the name Populus tremula. RNAcentral's name for it is "long non-coding RNA (PTRE_LNC000281)". The record is from RNAcentral. Lineage: Eukaryota; Viridiplantae; Streptophyta; Magnoliopsida; Malpighiales; Salicaceae.
AUGUAACAAUAGAACUCGGAAAACAGUGCUAGACAUUGCCUUUCAUUUUGUGAGGAUAUAACAGGCGACUAGUGACAAUACCCAAGAGUGGUGAUUGUUGGAGAUACGGCAUCAGAAAGUGUUUGUGGCCUAGCAUUUUGUGAGUACCUGAUGCUGGUCCGGCACAAUACAUGUUGAUGCCUGCUCAGGUUCGUGGGCUUGUAGCACUGCUAGAGAGCAUUCUACAUGCUUCAUCAUGGAGGUCAAAACCAGUCUGCUUACAGUUCACUGGAUAACUAGUUGGUCUUCAAAUGGCUACAGUUGGAUGCUCACAAAUUCAAUCAAAACAGAUGAACCUUCUAACUGAGUUUUACCUAAGAGCUUUGAAUUUUUUUGACCCCCCUUGCUACUCUGUGUUUUGAGUUGCGAUAUCUAGGUUCUGUAAUGUGAAGCCUUGCAUUUGUUUUAUUCAUAGGUGUCAUGGGACCUUUGCAAAGGAGCCUCCACAAACAAUAUAAGUAGCUCUUUCCUCAUUGUCCACAGCAUCCAUCUGCACCAAGAACCUAAACUUGCCUCUUUUCUUUUCAGUAGUGCACCAAACACACCAUAGGACCUCCUUGUGGAAGAGCAUCCAAAUGGUUUUCUCCCCCCCCCCCCCCUUUCUACUUCUACCAGAAAGGCUGCUCUAAUUUUUCAAUUGCCAAGGCUGCUAUAGGCUCCUCUAUUAUGUAAUUGUUUUGGACACUUGUUGAGUCACUAGGGGCCAUUGGAAAAUUGGCUGCAUUUAUUUAGAUGGACAGUUUGAACAUCUUUGGUUUUUAUUAUAUGGCUUGUGUGGCGGAUCUAUAGUUCUGGUACGGACAGCAGUUGCUUUUGUUACCCCGCCCCCCCCCCUCUCUAUAUCUUGGGUCUACAGUUGCUUUCACCUGUUGCAGAAACACAAAUCCUGGGAUGGCUUUCUGUUUUUUAUCUAAAAAAUGAGAAAAGGUAAAAGAAAUCUAUAUAUUUUAUGACACAUUGGUUGACAUGAUGUUCAUAACUUAAUACAUGUAAUGUGCUUCCAUGCACCCGUGCCACAGAGAUUAAAAGAUUUUCCACUUUCUCUAAUUUUAGUUGCUUCUCUUUUCUCUUUUCCAUAACCUACUGACCCAUGUUAUGGUCAUUUCUUACCAAACCAGGGGCCUAUGUCUUUCCCUUUUUUCAUUUUCUACAUUUCCUCUUCUUGAUUGAAUGCUUCUUUAUUAAUCAGGAAGGGAUGGAUAUAUUGAUUUUAUUUCUAAAAACAGGUAUACUCUUGAGAGCUCAAGUUUUUUGCUGAACUUAAAUUGUGGGAUUGGCUAGCAGAAGCAGGAAAUGGUGAAAAGGUUAUAGAUUGCCUUGAUGUUGUUUCUAUCUUCACAUAAAGUUAUGUGUAGAGUACCUUACUCAUUUCCCUGUUUCACAGGUAUGGAGUGUUUUGAUGCGUACAAUUUAUCAUGUUGCGGUGUGUAGAGGGACUCAUCACCUCCCUCCUGCGGUGUUGUGAUCUUGAUUUAUACAAACAAUCAAGAGGCCUUGAAGAUCCCGAGCUUCUUGCAAGGGAGACAGUCUGUACGCACUGGUCCAAUCUUUGUGAUAACAUUUUUUAUUUUUUAUUUGAUGCUGCUAAUGGGUUUCCUCUGCUUCUUAUUCUUUGUAUGUUUAGUAAACAGAGAAUGGUUAGAUUUUAUGCAAUAUGUCCUACUAAGUGGUUUUGCACUAUUUGUCUUAAACUUUGACUUUUUGAUUUUGAUUGUGAAAGUCUUGCAAUAGAGGUUAUCUUAUGAUGAACAUAGUAAAUACCUUUCGCCAUUGGUCUCAUUUAUGUUGUGAAGAUAAAUGCUCAUUGUGAUGGCUCUUUUUUAUUUUCCAAUGAAAAGGAUACUACAGCUAGUUUCAUAAUGAACAUAAUAUCUUUACCCUUAGUGAUAAUUCAAUUGACAGUUGUGUUCUUGCUAACAUUGGAUGCAGUCAGUGUAAGUGAAAUAGAGGCAUUAUAUGAGCUCUUUAAGAAGAUCAGCAGCGCCGUGAUUGAUGAUGGAUUGAUCAAUAAGGUUUGUUUAUUCUUCAAGCUGGUGAUACAAAAUUUUUAUUUUAUGCAUACGCAUGCUCUGUGUUUCUGUCUUAAUAUGAACUAAUACUUCCUCUUACAAUGCCAGGUUUCAUUUUCUUCAUGUAAAUACUACUUUCUUAUAAUUUAUUUGAAAAUGCUUACAUGCAUUUUUCUCUAAUUUCCUAUUACAGGAGGAGUUUCAAUUGGCGUUGUUCAAGACAAACAAAAAGGAAAGUUUGUUUGCUGAUAGGGUACUUCUCUCUUGUCAUUGCCAAAACCUACUUUCAAUUGUAUCCUAUGAAUUUUCUAAUAGAGUAUUUUGACCCAUUUGUUAAUUAUCUUUUGUUUGCUACUGUCUUGUGUUGCUUAUUGAUUGCAGGUAUUUGACUUGUUUGAUACAAAACAUAAUGGGAUACUAGGUUUUGAAGAGUUUGCCCGUGCCCUCUCUGUUUUUCAUCCAAACGCCCCUAUUGAUAAUAAGAUUGAGUGUAUGUCUGAGAUUGAGUAUUUCCUUAUCAUAACCUUUCUUUUCUUUUGUCCCUCAUGUAUGAUCAUAAUUGUUUUGAGCAUACCUCAUACAUUAACUAAUUGGCAUACUGUUUGUGCUUAAAGAUUUGAUAUGUUUUAGCGUCUAAUUAGGAUGAAAAAUUUCAAAAUACCACUCUUAAUUUUCCAGGCAUUCACUAGCUGGUGCUCUAUUUAUGUUAAUGUGUUAUGUGCCAUUGCAGUUUCUUUCCAACUUUACGAUCUAAAGCAGCAAGGUUUUAUUGAAAGACAGGAGGUAAAUUUCAUUGUUUAAUGGUUAACUUUAGGUUAUUUGAUUCUUGAACGACUUUUAGUUGUUUAUUUAUUUAUUUUAUUGGUGAGUUUAGACCUUAUCAACUUGUUGAUGUACAGGUGAAGCAAAUGGUAGUGGCUACUCUUGCUGAAUCUGGUAUGAACCUUUCAGAUGAUGUUAUAGAAAGUAUAAUUGACAAGGUGCUCCCUCAGAUUAGUUGAUUUUUUUCCUUCUUGCCUGAUAAAUCAGUUCUUGAAAGCUUUCAAAAUUAUUUUGUUUGCUUGCAAGUGUUUAUUGGAAAAUUUUCGGAUUCUGAAUUCUGGAGUCUUAUUUCAGACCUUUGAGGAAGCUGAUACAAAACAUGAUGGGAAGAUUGACAAAGAAGAGUGGAGAAGCCUUGUUUUACGCCAUCCAUCCCUUCUGAAGAAUAUGACCCUUCAAUACCUCAAGUGAGUUCAGAAUACGCAUACCUACUUCCCUUUCUCGCUAGAUGUUACUUAAUGCUAUGGGAUUUUCUUGUCAACCAAAGAAUUUUCGGACAUUCCAAACCUUUGAUGGGCUAGAAAAUGUAACUGGUUAGGCAAAUACUUCCAUGUUGAACCUCAUGCUAGUGGCGAGUUAUGACUCGGUUUCUUUAUUUCCUUGAGCAGGGACAUCACCACUACAUUCCCAAGCUUUGUUUUCCACUCACAAGUCGACGACACCUGAAUUCGAGACACCUGAAUUCGAGACAUCGGUAUUCAAAGCUUGCAGACUUUGUUUUUUUAUGUUUUGUUUCUCCGCAGAUGUGAUGGGCAGGGGAGCAUGGUUCUUCGGCCCCUGCGGGCAAAUUUCAUCAUGAUGUUGAUAUAGGCAUGCAGUUGGGGAGGCCUCACGGCUAGUUUUAGCAUUAAGGCUUCUACGCGGCAGAAGAAGUUACUGUACCACUGAUGUAGCAAGGAUACGGUUGAUCAGGCCAUUAAAAUGCUUAGAUGUUCACCUUCCAAAGCAUGAAUGAUUCUUAAAUGGUCGGUACGGUAGUGACUUCCAUGCCUCUGCGUCUGGACUACAUUUACACUUCUGGUUGUGAUAACUUGGGAGCUUUGGACUCCUUUCAAUUUCUAAUGCAUGAGUUUAUGUAUGUUUACCUUAUUACCUUCCUCCGUUGAGCAAGGCGUGGCCCUUGACUUCUUCACAGCUGGACUGCAUUUACGAUUCAAAUGAAUAGCGAGCUUUAGUGAUUCUCAGUAUCGGAAUCCGAAUUACCAUACAACGUUCUUCCAAGUGUUUGAAAGGAAAUUGGAGUAUAGCAUGAUUUAAAUUUGAUCUUCUUUAUCAAAAAAAGAAAAAGAAAAAGAAGAAAAGAUAGCAUCUUAGACCAUUUUAUAGUUUUUGUGUUUUUGCUACCAUAAAGAAAAAACUAUUGGAUUAAAUUGUAGUUCUGAUGGUUUUUCAAAGUUUUUUUUUUUCAUAUAGAAAUAUAUUGAAUAAUAUUAUUUUUUUUAAAAAAAUAUUUUUAACAUUAACACAUUAAAAUGAUCAAAAAAUAUUAAUUUAAAACAAAUAAAAAAAAUUAAUUUUUUUAAAAGUAUUUUUGAAACACAAAAAUAAAUUUUAGUUAAAUAUCUUUUACUUUUUGUAAUCUUGGUUUUUAUUGAAACUAAAAUAACUAGUUUUUUUUUAUUUAUAUAGAUUUAUUUUACAUGUAAAAAUUUAUUUUGUAAACAUAUAAAUAUGACAUCGGUAUAUCAAAAUGAUCUGAAAACACUAAAAAAAUAUUAAUUUGAAGUAAAUAAAAAAAUUAAAUAUUUUUAAAAAUAUUUUUGAAAAGUAAAAACAAACAGAAUUUUAGUUAAACAACUUUUACUUUUUGUAUUAUACCUAUAUGAUUAGAUUUUAAAUCUUGGUUUUUGUAGAAACUAAAAUAACUUGUUUUUUAUUUAUAUAGAUUUAUUUUACAUGUAAAAAUUUAUUCCACAAACACUAAAAAUGUGAGAAAGUGUGGAUUUUGAAAGAUUGAUAUUAAUUUUUAAAAUAUUAUUAAAUAAUUUAUGUUUGUUAGGGAGUAUUUAGAAAUAUGGUAGAAAUUAUAUUUGAAUAUAUAUUUUUUUGAUAAUAUAUUAAGAUAAUAUUUUUAAUUUAAAGUAAAAAUAAAAAAGUGAAAUAGCUGUUGAGCCGGAACUCCAAGAAUGCCAUUGGAAUCCACAGGACCACAGCUACAUUUAGAGCGUGUUUGGCAGUGUGGUAGCGGUUGCUUUUCAAAUAGUUUUUCGUGCCGAAAUACAUGCAAAUGAUGUUUUUUCAUUUUUUAAAAAUCAUUUUUGAUAUCAGCACAUCAAAACGAUUCAAAAAGUACAACCGUAACUCAAUUUUAGUAAAAAAAAAAAUUUGAAUUUUGUCAAAACGCCGGUUUGGCAGCAAUGCCAAACGGGCUCUUAAAAAAUGGACGGUGGAGUAAAACUGAAAUGACAUGAAAGGCCACCUGGUACAAGACGAAUCUAUGAUCAUAAACAAAUCAUUGAAGCCCUGUUCUUGAAUUGAUACCCCCAUUAUAACUUUAGUUAGCAUAAAGAUGAAAGGCGAGCAUAUAAUUGCUAUUUGAUUCGAGCUUUACUUUAGAAAACUAAAGCAAGAUAUAAAUCUCCCACUGGAACAUCCUCCUUUUCACUGUGCAGAGUCAUGUGAAGAUAGGAAAAUCAAACUGCUGGUUCUUGCUUGCAUCUGUUGCUUUUAUUGUUGUGUUUUGAGCAGUAGCAGCAACAGGCAGGUAGUAGAAGACAAAGAAAGCAGCGGCGAGAGCUAUGAACACCUUUUGUGAUUGUGAAGACUUUCGGUCCCCGACAACCAUUCACGCGUUUCUUCGUUUUUUCUUUUAAACCUAAAGCACAUUGAGAAAAAAGGAGAGAGAGCGAGAGCGCGAGACCAACCGACACCGUUUGUUCUCUCCUUCUUUAUUAAUACUUGCUGGUGUUUGUUUUGCUUCGAGACAGCGAGAGCCAAACAGACUAGCAAACAAACAAGAGGCGUCUGGACUGGAGAGCUAGAAAUGGUUUCUUUUAAAGAAAUCACCCUCAAAGUAACGGCUGUCUACAUGCAGCUCUCGAUCAUCGUCAUGAUCAUCAUCGUACAGGACUCAAAAGCCAGGGAGCUACGACCCUCUGACCACGGGCUUGAGUACCAGAGCAUGCCACCAACAGCGGUGAGAUUCCCACCUGACAUGAAGCAGUUCUUUGGAGCGUCUUCAGCGGCCACAAGUACGUCGUCGUCCGGGGUUGCAUUGCCUAAAGCAAUGAACUCGAACGACACCUCGUGGUGGAGAGCUGCUGGAGGCCGCGGCGGUGGUGGAGGCGGCGGCGAUCGUGUGAGGCACGUGCUGUUGGUAGCAAGCUUGGUUUGUGGGGUCACGGGUUUUGCCUUGUUAGUUACUUCCGCUUUGAUUUUCUACUUUAUGAGGCACAAAAACCAGUCAUCGCCGCCAUCAUCAACUACCAAUAAUAACCAUAGGAGUAUUGUUGUAUAUUCAGGUAAGAAUUAACUAGUAGUAUUAAUUGUUGCUUAAGAUUUACGAGCGAGUGUUUUCUCCUUUUGUUCUUUUUGCCUUUCAAAAACGACGUGUCGUGUUCAGUCUGAUGGGCAUCCACUUGGAACAAUAUUUACAGAGUUUCAGCUUCUUCUUCUUCUUCUUCUUCUUCUUUCUUUUCAAAUUCUCGUACAGAGAAAUACAUACAUUUAAUCUAAUUAAUCAAAAUCAAUUAAUUUUCAAGUGUUUUAUACGCAAGGGAACAAAAUAAAAUCCUAGGGAGAAUAAUUUAAAAUAAUUUAAAUUUAAAAAAUAAAAAAAACAUUUUUGACGCGCAAGAAUAUGUUGACUAGGGAGAAGUGUCUGAAAUAUGUGGGUGGAAAUGCUACAGCUGUGCGCAUCACAGGGCAGUGAUAUUUUGGUGAACGAAGUAUCUGAGAGGAAGAAAAGAUACCGCGAGUCCUGUCCAGCUGGCAUACAUGAUUUAUUUAUUUAUUUAUUUAUUUAUUGGGUUUGUCAGCUGGUAAUGGCCUGAUCCAGCUCAACUUGGUGCUUCACUAGUGGAUAAGAUUAGGUUUUAGGUCAAAUAAUGCACAUGAUGGGAUUAAAAGUUUUCCUCAAAAGCUAGCUUGCUUUUAAAUAUUUGUGACCGUACCGGUGCCCUAAGCAAGAAAAUUAUCAGCUCCAGCUUCCAAGCCUACCGCUACCGUAGCUUUGUUGUUGUUAGUAGAAUGCUAUGAUAAUGAUAGUGUUUUUAAAAGAAUCUAUGGUUAUUUAUGUUUAAUAAAUUUAGUUAAUUUAAUAAUAUAAUUAUUAAAUAAUACUAGUAAUAAUAAAUAAAAAAAUAUUAUGGCUAAUAAAAAAAAAUGAAACGGUGAAGUGUAUUGGAAAAAAUAAUAAUUAAAAAAAAUAUGACUCAAAGUUAGCAUGUUAAAUUUACGAUAUAAUUGUGAGGUUAAAAUGACCUGGUACAAAAUAAAAUAAAAUAAAAUAAUAAAGGUUAACUUAAAAAAAAAGAUUAGAUAAUAAAAGUUGGUAAUAAAAAAAAUUGAUUAAAAAAAUAUCAAAAAUAAAAAUUUUAUUCAACUAGGUUAACUUGACUAAUCUAUAACCCUUGAUGUAAGAUUGAGAUGAAUUCAUAGAAAUGAAAGUGAAAAAAAAUCAACAGAUGAAGGCUCAAUAAUCUAAUAUUAAAUGAUGAAAUUAAAAAAAAAUCAAUUUAAAAAAAUCUAAAAAAAAGAUGGUAAUUAAAUCGGACUAAUAUUCAACACUUAUGACUUAGGUCAUGAGAUCAGGUUAUUUCAUAGAAGAUAAAUCUGAAAAAAUUAUAAAACAAAAUUUUUAAUUUUUUAAAAUUAAAAUAAAAAAAUUACCAAUAAAAAAUAAAGAUCAAAUCAGCAUGGAAACUAAAUAAAGUAAAACAAUGAUGGAUAAUAUUGAUAAAUCAAGAAAAUGGUAAAAAAAAAUAGCAAUAAAAUAAUGAGAAUUAAAAUUAAUAUAAAUAUUAAAUGAAAUAAAAUAAUGAUAUAAAAUUAAAAAAUAAAAUAAAUAAAGAUAAUAAUAAGGAUAAAAAAACAAUAAAAAUAUAAUAUUAUAGAAAAAAAUACACGGACUAAUUAUGAUGGCGAGAAAAAGUUGGAACACUUUCUCAUCUUUCGACUCAGGAGGUUCUUGAUCUCAGGACAUUGAACAAAUUAGAGUGGUCGAGAAAAAUGCUAGACUGAGUUUUAUUCUUGCAGAGUUUGAAACUUAAUAACUCCAUAAAAGUUCUAUCCCUGUCGAAUUCCUAUAUAGUAUAUGAUAUUAUGUUAUAAUUAUUUUUUAAAUUUUAUUUUUUAUAUCAAUACAUUAAAAAGAUCUAAAAUCAUAAAAAAAAAUUAAAAAAAAAUAUUUUUUAAACAUAAAAGCAAACUCGCCGGCCGGUGAAAUUGAAGAAUAUUUUCAGUGAUAACGGGUUUAGCUAGCUGAAAGAUUAAGGCCCAUAACUCAAGGAUAUAAAUAAGGCAAAAGUAGCCCAUUAACAUGAUCCAAACAUAGUGGCUCAAUCUAGAAAGCACAUCAGCCCGUAUUUCCUGCUUGUCUCCAUUGGUUUUCACUCUAGGGCUCCGUUUGUUUGCAGGAAAGUGAAUUUCUUUUGAAAAGUGAAUUCCGGGGAAAGUGAAUUCCUGGAAAGUGAAUUCCGGGAAAGUAUUUUCCGAUGUUUGGUAGUGUUAUGGAAAAUGAACUGGAAAACACUUUCCAGUGUUUGGUUAUGUCAUGGAAAAUGAGCUGGAAAAUAACUUAUUAAUAUUUUAUUUUUCUCAAGUUUAUUAAAAUAAUGAGGAACAAAUCUUACAAAUUAAAAAGUUGAAUGAGAAUGAAAUUGAAAAAAAAAAUAUAAUUUCAUAAAUUAUCUCAAAUAAAACAAAUAAUAAUCAAAAUAAUAGGGAUCAAAUCUAAAAAAUUUUAAAAAAAUGAAAAAUGAAGAAAUUAAAAUAAUAAUAAUCAACAUUUCAUAAAUUAUUUCAAAUAAAAUAAGUAACAAUCAAAAGAAUGAGGAUCAAAUUUGAUAAAUAAAAAAUUUCAAUAAAAAAAUGAUAAGAAAAAAGCAAAUAGCAAUUAUAAAAAUAAGGACCAAAGUUAAUAUAAAAAUAAAAUUUUAAGAGAUGAAAUUGAAAAAUAAAUAUUCAAAACAAAAUAUAUAUAGCAAUCAAAAGUUUGAGGAUCAAAUUUGAUAUAAUCAGCAAAUAAUGACAUUUCUAAAUUUUUCACAACUUCCAGAAAGUGUUUUCCCCUCAAAUUUUUCAGGAAAACACUUUCCUGAAAACCAAGCCAAAUUUUCCUUUUACUGGAAAGUGUUUUCCAUUGAUCAAUUUUCCUACUGGCAAACAAACACAAGAAAGUUUGGAAAAUGCUUUCCCGGAAACCACUUUCCGGAAAACAAACACAGAAAAGGAAAACACUUUCCUGAAAACCAAGUCAAUUUUUUUUUUUUGACUAAAAUUGACUGGAAAGUGUUUUCCGUUGACCGGAAAGUGUUUUCCGCUGACCGGAAAUUGUUUUCCGUUGACCAAUUUUCCUAAUGACAAACAAACACAGGAAAGUUUGAAAAAUGGUUUUCCGGAAACUACUUUCCGGGAAACAAACAAGGCCUAGAUUUCUUGUUUUUUGAUGGCAACAGAGGGUAGAGGAGGACAAGAGAGCAGGAAAAGGGGUUUUUUUUUUUUUUUAAGAGAUUCUUCGAUUUUAAAAUGAUUUUCAUUUAGAAAUAUAUUAAAAUAAUAUUUUAUAUUUUUUUAAAAAAAUAUUUUUAAUAUUAACAUAUAAAAAUAAUUUAAAUCACCAAAAUAUAUUAAUUUAAAAUAAAUAAAUUUUUUUUAAUAUUUUUAAAAACAAACCGUAUACAUGUGAGAAUGAUUUAAGAGACGGCACGAUGUUGUGAGUUUCCUCGUCAAUAAACAAGGCCGACUCAUUUCUCAUACUUGGAUUAAAUGAAUCAAACACAUCAACAUAAAAGCAUGAAAAAACAUCGUUUGGGCACCUCGUUGCUUCGAAUAUGUUGAAUCCAUGGUUAAGGUCUCUUCAAGGACAUCUAUCCUCGUCCCUGUGAUUGUCAGAAAUGGAUGUCCACAUGAGAAGCAAUUUAGCAGGCGUCGGCGAGAAAUCAGCCGGAAAUAUCAACUCAUUUUCCGGCAACAAAACAUCCUUCAUAAAGCCCUUUGGAUAACAAUUUGAUUGAUCGGCUAGCCUGAUCACCACAAUUGUUCCCAUGCUUCAUUAAGCUUAUCACCAUCCCUCUCUUCAACUGCUUUUUCCUCUACACUGGACAGAAUUCCUGCAAGAACCUGGAAGUCAAUUGCUUCCAAGUAGUGAUGCUACCUAAAAGCAAAGAAUUCAAUCAUCUCUUGGCAUCAUCUUUCAGAUAAAAAGGAAAAAGAAUUAACUUGAGCACUUCGAUUGUUAGAUUCUAAGUAUUUUGUCUACUGCACAAAUCAUAAAUCUCUCCAAUGUGAAUCUAGGGAUCCUCAGAGCAAGUUCCCCUGAAAUGUAGAAGUGAAACUAAGCAAAGAUGGAAGUAUGGAAUAUGUCUCCAAAUUUUCUGAAAGGCCUGUUCGUGAUGGUGAACCAAUAUCGAUGGGCGAAAAAGAAUCCAAAGAGGCCUGCUUCUGUCACAUCAUCCAUUUCCUCCUGAUCGACUUGUUCCUUGGAAGUUGUUGAACUUUUCGAUGAUCCAUUUGCUAAAGAAACCUAUCCCCUUUCCUUUCAAAAUGCUUUGGAUGCCCGCAUGUUUUCCAUGCCCGCUCAAUACCAGCCUUAUUUUACUCGUGUUGUAUAACUAUUUUGUUUUUUUAUAAAAAAAUAUUAUUUAUGUAUUAAAAUAAGGUAAAAUAACGAUAAUAUACUUUUAACCAUGUUAAUUAGAGCUAGGUUAACUUGGAAUAUUUUGUUAAAUCCAUGUGAUUGAAAUAACUAGAUAAAAAAUAAUAAAAAAAAUUAUACAGUCUUUGCAAAUAAAUAAAUAAAAAUUUAUGCUAACUUUUCAAACUCAAUCAAUGAAAUGUUAAAAGAUAAAAUUGAAAAAAAAUUAAUUAUACAAAAAGAUUUUAAAAAAAUAAUUAAAAGAAUGAGGAUCGAAAUUGAUAUAAAAAAAUAAAUUUUACAUUUGAUUUAUAGGUGACAUUAAGGGGGGGAAUCAAAUUAAUAAAAGGAUGAAAAAAAAAAUAAGAAUCAAAAUUGAUAUAAAAAAUAAAAACAAUGUUGUAAUUAAUGAGUGAAAUUAAGAAGAAUAAUAAUUGUUUAUAAAAGAACAAAGAAAAAAUUAGAAAUUUAAAUAAUGAGGACUAAAUUAGAAAAUGUAACACCAUCAAUUUCAAUUGAAGGAUAAAAUUGAAAACUACUAAAUCUUUUACAAAAAGACUAAGGGAAAAAAAUAGAAAUUCAAAGAAUGAGGACCACAUUGAAGAUAUAUAUGAUAAAUUAAGAUUGAAUGAUGAAAUUAAAAACAAAUAAAAACUACUACAAAAGGGUUAAGACCAAAAAUUAAAAAAAAGAAGAUUGAAGUUGAAAUACCAACAAACAAGAUGGUCAAGUUGUAAUUUUUUGGGAUAAGAGAGAGAAGAAGGAGAAAAUAAUGGUCAACUAGCGCCAAAUCAGAUCAUCACCGAUAACAUGUACUACAUUAACAAAAAGAGGACAUGACGACUUUUUCAAUAACUCUUUUGGAAUGGCAUAUUUGGACAUCGGGAGGCGCCACAUGCACCGCCUAAAGGGUGCAAACGCUUCCCACUCAUGCCCUGGUACUUCACACGUGUGCCCACCUUUUUGUUUAUUAUUUAUUUUGUCAAAUACAUAAUUGCUCCUAAGCUGACUUUAUAAUUAUAAAAAUAAAAAAACUAUAGUGAAAAACUAAAAACAUCCCUAGACCUCAAGCUUAAAUUUUUUGACUUUAAGGUUAUUUUCAUCGUUUUAUUGUGCAUUUUAGUUGUUUAUUAUUUUUUUAUAUUUGGGCAAAUACCAAAUCCCCCCUCAAAUUAAAUUAUAAUAACCAAAAAACUAUUUUAAAAAUAAAAAAAUAUUAAUUCAUCUCAAGUUUAAAUUUUUUUUAUCUUUAAGGGUAUUUUAGUUAUUUCAUUGUACACUUAAUAUAAAAAAAUUUUAUUUGUCCCUGAUCAAUUUAAAAACAAUAAAUAGGCCAUGUGAAAAGACUUUAAUGUCCUUAAAAGUAAGGUCAAGUUUUUUGGACGAGGGGUAAAAGAGUCACCAUACUAUUCCAAUGUAUAAUGUAAAUAUUUAUACAGUUACAAUGUUUUCCAAAUAUCAAUUAGCUCUUUUUAAUAGACAAGGUUGGUGUAUCCCGUAUGACAAGUUUGCAUACAAAACAAAAUGAAAACAAGAAAGAAAAAGACAAAAAAACUAAAAAAAAAAGAAUAUAAAAAAGAUAUUAAAUAAAAUAAUCUUCGGCAAUUAUGCCAAAAAUUGAUGAGAAAUUUAUAAUAUAGUGGUAUAGCUUGUAAUAUCUCAUAUCAAUGGGUGAGGACUUGGGGGAAGACCUUAUAUGAGCAUACUCACAUUGACUAGUAAGACGCAUUUUGGGGCCAUACGUGGCUGCCAAGAACAAAUCCGUGAUGCAUGUGGGCCAAAGCAGAUAAUAUCUUGCUAGUGGGGUGGGGUGUUACAUUUGGUAUCAGAACCCGGCUCACGAGCUGUUCAAUGAUGCCGACAGGGUCGUCGAGCUCCUUAAAGGGGGUGAAUUGUAAUAUUCCAUAUUGGCGGGUGAGGACUUGGGGGAGAGCCUUAUAUUAGCAUGCUCAACUUGAUUAGUAAGACGCAUUUUAGGGCCAUGCAUGGCUGUCAAAAACAAAUCAGUGAAGCCUGUGAGCCAAAGCGGACAAUAUCUUGUUAGUGGGGUGGGGUGUUACAUAACUACUUCUUAAUAGUAUAGAAAAGUAGAUAUCAUUUCAUUAAAUAAUGUAAUUUCAUUGUUAUUUUACAACUUAAACCAAAAUUAAAGACGCAGGUAUCAAAGCAUUAAUUGUUAGACAAUGGUAAACUAAUCUAAAUGUUUUAAAUAUUUACAAGCAAGUUCUAGACAUGGUAGUAUAACUACUAACCAAAUUUAAAUUGAUUUCAGGUUGAUUUGGAAAGGUAUAAAAUUAAGAUAAAAAGUAUAAAAAAAAUAAAUGAAAUUAUAGCUUGGAAUAGAAGUUGAGAAUCUAGUUAUGGAUGAUUACUCUCACAUGAGGUUCUUAGUAUGAGGAUGCAUUUUCAUACUAAUUCUCUUUUAGUUUCUAUGUUAAGCAUUUGGUAUAAAUGUCCUCACCUAUUUGUUUUUAAGUUCAACCUAGCAUGGUAUCUACUCAAGUUUAGCACUUAGAAGUUAUUAAGAAUAAAUAAAAUAUGAAUGUAGUUAAAACACUAGAACAUGGCAUUUAUUCUAGGUGAUUCAGAAUCAAGUUCACACAAACAUGGUUAUGGAAGUCAUCUCAUACUUUAAAUACAUGUUUAUAUAGAUAGUCACUUGUGUACCUAUAUCUAAUUGAUCCUAAUACAAUCAUAUGAGAUGAUUCGGCAAAAAACCAUAUAAAAGAAUUGAUCGUUAAUAAAUAGAGAACUUGAAAUCAUUUAGGAAAAGAAUUCAUAAGUUUAAUGGAAGCAUAAUAUCAAACAAUCAUAUUUAGGAUUUAAAUUGAGUAGUAAAUAUAAUUGGGAUUAGUUAUUCAUGACUACAAAAAAAAAUUCCAAGAUAAUUAAUAAGGAAUGAAUAAACCAAACACCAUAAAAUCAAAAGUGGAAUUUUGGUGGCAAAUGCUUUCUUCACCUCAUUUGGUCUCAAACUUGAAUUUUCUUUUCGUCUUUUAUAAUGCUCUCCUCUUGAAUACUUUCUUUUACUUAUUUGAUAUCUUAAUUUUUUUUUUCAAAAUAGACAAAUUUCAAUCCCUGACUUUUGACCUGAUUUUCUCUGUCAGGUCAACUUAUUUUCAAAAGGUGAUAAACAUAAAUGUUGUAUAUAUCUUUUGUAGUUUUUUUUUCCUAUUACUAAAAUAAUUUAAAUUGAAUAUCUAGAAACAAUUAUGCUUGAUUUACUAAUAUAUGUUUCUAAAAUUUCUAGAAGGGAAAUUUCCUAUUCUUAAAAUAGGAAAUGACAAUUUCUUCAUUUCUUAUAACGUGCACAGAAAUCAAUUGGACCUCUUUAAAGUUAAUUUUGGCAUUGAAUUGGUUUCUAAAUAGGCUUCCUCAAUAUCAUGAACCUAAAUAUAGUUAGAAUUCAAAGAUUGAAUGUUAAUUAUUCACAUCAAAGCCUAUUAUUCAAUGAUUUUAUUUUUCCAUAAAUAAAAACUUAUAAAAUUUAAAAAAAAACUAUAAAAUAAAUUGAAGAUAACUAGCAUAAAAUUACCCAUAAAAGUACUUUAAAAUUCACAUAAAAAAUAAGCUCUUCAAAGAUUUAAGAAAUAUAGAGAUUACAAGGUAGAUAAUUGGCUCGCAUUAUGUUACUAGUCAAGCCAAAAUUAUUCAAUGUGAAAGCAUAAUAUUCUAGCCACGAGAAACUCUUUAACAUUGUCAUUAAACCCAACCCAUUUGAUCAACUUUAAACUUUUUGACUCGAGUAGUCCUUUCCUAACCCGAAUAAUACACUUAAUCUUUAAAUAUAAAUCAAUUAAUUGUUGAAUUGAUAAUAAGUUAAAUUUUUUUAAUUCAAUUUUGAUUUUGAUUAUAAUUUAUAUUUGAGCUAACAUAUUAGAAACCUAAUGAUUUUCACACAAUAAAAAUCAUUUGUUAGAGAUUAAAAUAUGAUGAUUAAUCAAGUGUGACUUGAUUAAAGAUAAGUUUUAGAAAUUAAAAAAUUGAAUAUAAUUAAUUUAAAGAUUACAAUUCUAGACCCAUAAAAAAUCAAGUACGGAGUUAAUUUUUUUUUCCUAUGUAAAUAGAAUAGUUUUCUAGUUUAUUUGUUAUAUUUAAUAUUAUUUAUUCUAAAUAAAUUAUUGUAAUGAUGUUUUCAUAAGUGAUACAUGAAUGAAUAAAAUUAAGUAUUUUAAGAGUUUUCUCAUGGUUAUGGUGUUCUUGGUCUUUGAAAGUUUUGACUAUUAACAAACUUGUUAUCAUUUGCUCUCGUGUAUAUAAGAUACCCAACAUGAUCAAAAGGCUACCUCCUCUGUUCUCACAUUUGAAACAAGUUUUGAAAGUUGGUCAUGAAUUCAUGAUCACUCUUCAUAUUAUCUCCGUUAAUUGACGGGUGAAUUCUAAAAUUUAUACAUGUCUUUUAUGACCAACUCCUAAACAUCUCUUCUCCAAUGGGGGAAUCUCAUCACCCUCUCCUACAUGAGCAUGUCUUGUUUUUUGAACUCUUUCAGCCAUGGUUAUUUAAGAGCAUAUAAAAACUAACCAUUAUAAAUGAUUAGGCUUUGAUACCAACUAAUAUAAAUGAAAGCAACAUAAGAAAGAUAACAAGUAUAAACGACACAGAAUUGUCUUGAAUAUGGUAACCACACAAAAAUUCUAAUUCAAAAUUUUAUUACCAAAUAUUUCUCUUUAAAUUAUCUACCAAAAUAUUGGUUAAACAACAUUAUUUAUAUUAGCCUUAGUUUUAUCUUGAAGAAGGAAAAAAAUUCUAAUAAAUAAUUAUAUAGUUAUUCUAGGAAUUCAUAAUCUAAAUAAGAAAAAAAAAAAUUACCAAGCACAAUGUUUUAUUUCCUAAACUAAAUAGAAUAAAAAUAACUUAGGAAAUAAAUGAUUUCUUUUAAAAAUCCUCUUGCAUCAUUGCAUGAUGGUUGCGUGAUGGUGGCUUUCUUAAGGUUCAAUUAUGGAAAGAUUUUCUCUGUGAAGAAUCCAAGGUUUGGGAUGCUUUAUACUCAAAGAUUCCUUAUACCUCAUGAAAUCCUUCUAUCCUGAAAGGUGCCUGCAAACUCGGAGAAUUCCACUUAAAAACCUAAGUUUCUAUGAUGAUCAUCCUGAACACAAGGUCAUCUUCUUCGAUAUCGCUCAUGAUAUGUGUUCUCAAAACUAAAUAUAGAGUUACAAUCAUCUAUCUCACGAUCUUUCAAAUCUUGAACUGUAAAUUAUGGUUUAAACUUGUGACUUGCCUUUGUAAAUCCUUAAUUAUUAGUUUUUGAACAUCAUGUUCUGAGAUUAGAACCUCCUUAUCUAGAAAACAUCAUUCUUUAUCAUGAACAUGUCUUGCUUUAUAACCUUCAACCAUGGUAAUCAGUGAGCUCAACCAAUAAGGUUUGCACUUUAAUACUAACCGACACAACCUAAACUCUAUAAUUGAAAUUAAAAGGAAAAUGAUGAGAGGGAUAAAAUAAAAUUUUUUUGAGAAAAUCCCUUGAUGUCAUAGGUAUUGUUCUAAAGAAGAGAAAGAGAAUAACCUUUUUAUUAAAAUUAUCAAAGUCCAUUAAAAUUCAAAUUAAACAAUCAUAUUUAUACUAGUCUUAGGCCUAAACCCUGAUCCCCAAAAAGAAAAAUAAUAAUUAUAGAGUUAAUAUAGAAUUCAACUAAUAUUAGAAUUCCUAUACUAAAUAAAAAAAAAUAUAACGAAGGAAAAUUUUUUGAACCUAAAAUCAUCAAAGUUAUAAAAAUGGGCUCAAAAAAGUACUUUUAAUAAUUUAUUUUUGAGUCGGGACUAAAAACUUAGGCUUUCAGGAUUUUAACAUGUCCUAGCUUAUCGAGACUUUUUGGUGAACUCACUAAUUUUAAAAAAAAAACUAAAGAUAAAAAUUAAUUAUUUUGAAAAUAAAGGGAUCUCAACAAGUUUAUAUAUAUAUAUAUAUAUUACAUUUCAAAUAGUAAAGUUUGGCAUAUAGUCUAUUUAAAAUAAAAUGUAAUUUCUCAUCAAAAAUAAAUUAUAAGAAUGAAACAAACCUCCUUACGAACCUAAAUCACUUAUGAAAUUAAAGUAAGCAAAAUAUGCUAAAUUCAUUACCCAGAUGAAGGCUACUUAGGGAGAAGAAGGGGUAACCUAAUUGAAACGCCAAGGAUUAGUCAAAGGCUAGUUAGAGAGAAGAAAGGGUAGCCCAAAAAAAAACCCGAAGAUUAGUGAAAUGGUUUAAUAGAAGUGAUUAUUAUCAGUUUGGUUUGGUUUAUAUAAAAAAUAAUAGUCAAACCAAAUUUUUUUUAAAAAAAUCAAAACCGGUUCAAACCAAUCGGUUUGGAUUUGGUUUGGUUUUUUUGAACAAAAACCGAUUUGACUUGGUUUUUUUCGAUUUGGGUUCGGUUCUGUUUUUUCAGCCUAGCUCGGUUUUUUUUUGUUUGGAUUCUGAUCGGUUCGGGUUUUUCAGUUUUAAAUUUAUAAAAUCAAAAUUAAAAUUGAACUGGUCAGUUUUUUUUAAAAAUUUAAUCUAUUUUUUUUACAAUUCAAUUUUUUUAAUUAUUUUUUUUCUAAUUUUUUAAUUUUUUUUUAACCUCGACUUCAUGAAGUUUGAUAGAGAACUACCAAUCUCAAACUUGUUUCGCAAAACAUCACGGAACCAAAAAAAAAGGUUCAAACUUCAAAGCCUGGUGUACCAACCAAGAAAAUGUCCAUGUCCAGGUCAAAGUUUUCAUGACUUCACGAGGGAUAAACUAGAAACUAGAUAUCAUGCUCAAUAAGCUUCCAAACCUCAAAAGUGUAAAUAAAAUCAUUAAAUUAGAAAUAAAUAAAUAACGGUACUUAUAUGGUACGGGAAGGAAAUAAAACAUGGAUGGAUUGAAAAAUCUAAAUUGUUAAUCACAAGUUUUUUAUAAAAAAAGAAAAAAAUCAAUAAAAGAAAGAGAAUAAAAAGUGGGAAUAUUCGUAUAGGGAGAUGGAUUAACAAAUAAUCUUAAUCUAAAGAGUAAAUAAAAAAUAUAGUAAGAGUAGGGGAAUUACAAGUACAUUAAUUAAGCACCAGCAGUCAGGGAGAGCCGAGAGGGCGGAAAGAGAGGCAAGAGGCAAACCCGCCACGCCCCCGCCCCUUGCUAGCCUCCAAAGGAUCACUCUCACUCAUAUACCUGCCUCGUCAACUCUUCUUCACAUGCAUCAUAGUAUAAAAGACAUUUCCAGAACCUCACUAAUCACUCUCUUGAUCUCUCUGUCUUUCUCGCUCAAUUAAUCUCAUCAUCUGCUGCUCAUCAUGGCUCAUUUGGCUGCACUUUCUCAGGUUCCAAAACGCCAUACCCUUUGAGAUCUCUGUUUCUUUUUUUAACAGUUGCCUCAUCUUUUGUACUAGAGAUUGAUUGUUCUUUUUCUUUUUUAUUUUGUCGCUGCAGGUUUCCUUUGCUGCUCCUGCUGGGAGCGACACCACCCUAAGGAGAUCUGCUUUUAAGGUAAUUUUAAAUCUUGUUUCAUGAUUAUGGAAGAAGAUUAUUAAAGGUUCUGUUUGGUUUCCUUCAACCUUUCCUCUUAGCAAGAUGAGGGCAAAUUUUCCGUUUUUUAAAUCUGUUGUUUGUAUGCUUGUUCAUGUCCAAAAAAGAAAAAGAAAAAAAAAAGAAAUUUCUGUUCGAGUUGAACAUUUUCUUUGAUAACUGAUGAGGAUGGGUCACUUACAACUUACAGUUAUGUUAAACAAGGAUUUGAUAUUUGAAGGGUUAUGAAUGUGGAAAGAGGUUGAUAUUCCAAGCUUGUGGAUCAUGAUCUUUAUUGCUAUUAUAGAUGGAGAAGAAGAGUAUGGUCAUCUUUCAAAUGCUGGAAAAUAGAUUGCUGAAUAAGACACUUAAUGGUGGCUGCAUCAGUUCAAACUUGAUAAGAAAUUAAAAAGUGGGGGGGGGGAUGACAUGAAACUGAUUUUGUGCUCUUUAAUUUCGAGCUUGCUAUUAAGUUGUUCCUGAAGAAGAAAUGCUUGCAUGUGCUAGUUCAUUCAUGCAUAGGUUACGUAGGGUGUCGACCUGUUUCUCCGCCCCCAAAUAUGUUUGCAAGUGAAAUAAUUGUCCUUUUAAUCGAGAGAGAACUCUUUUGUUUGAGAUGAAGAACAUUCCCAUGUCUAAACUGAAGGUCAAUGAUCCAAAGAUCAAGCUGAAGUUUCUUUAGCUUAUUGAGUACAAGUACAGCUUGCAGCAAUCCUGUUAUCCAAUUUAAACAUUGCACUUUGUUAAAUGCAAUCCUGUUAAAUGCUCUUGCAUUUUGUUAAAUGCUUCUGCACUUUGUUAGUAGUUACUGAAGCCCUGCUAGUUACCACAGUCUUCCAUUAAGUGAAGUUGCCGGUCAUUCCAUAUGUUUUUGCACAUGCAAGCUGCUAAGCUAUAUGACUGGUUAAAAUUAGAUCCUAAUUUAAGAGAUCUUGUACUGGUGAUUGACCCAAUUUUCUUUGUAUCCAAUAAGUAAUCUCUACAUGAUGAGGCACUAAUCUGAUUUGGACAAUUAUCCCUGUUUAAGCGUUUCAAUCUGCUCCAAUUUUCAUUAUGUGUUUGUGUACGUGUGUACAUGUGGCUGCCAUCCAUUUGCUUUGCAUUCAUGUAAAUGUGUGUGUGCAUGCUAAUUAGAUCUCAAGGAAGUUUCCCAUGAUUUUGUUGCAGAUUCAAAAUAUAAGCUUUGGUGAUAAAUCAUGGCACCCUGCCUCAUCUUUGGAUUUGAAAUCAAGAAAUACUGGGUUGAAAAAACGAUUGUUGGUAUGCAUGUCUGUGCAACAAGCCAGUAGAUCUAAGGUUGCAGUUUCACCUUUAGAACUUGAAGAUGCGAAGGAACCCCCAUUGAAUACAUACAAGCCCAAGGAACCUUACACAGCAACAAUUGCCUCUGUAGAGAGGCUUGUCGGCCCAAAUGCUCCUGGAGAGACUUGCCAUGUAGUGAUUGAUCAUGGUGGUAAUGUUCCCUACUGGGAAGGACAGAGUUAUGGCGUGAUACCCCCUGUAAGUCAUGCUAUUUAUCAUGCGACUAGGCCUGCUAUAGCUUGCAUUAAAUUGGUGGCUUCUGCCUGUCUUUUUGGUGGUGGUGGUGGUUUUGGGUGGGGAUUGGGCAUGUUGAAGAUUGCAUUGAAGUGCUAGAGCAUGCAUAUGCUGUUCUAGUAAGCAUUGUCAUCCCAGUCAUUAUAGUCUGAGCAUGCUGUUAACCUUUAGUUCCAAGUUGAUAUAGUUGAAAUCUAGCAGAUCCUGAUCUACUCAAUCCAGUCUAAUUGAAGAGUGGGACUCUAGAUUUUGCAUUAAAGUCAGCAUUUGUUCAUCUUUUUUUGUGAUACUUCGGUAAUAAUGCUUCUAUAUAACUAAUGUAAUUUGUCUCUUUGCAUCAUAGGGUGAAAACCCGAAGAAACCAGGGGCCCCCCACAAUGUACGUCUAUAUUCAAUAGCAUCUACCAGAUAUGGAGAUUCUUUUGAUGGCAAGACUGCUAGUUUAUGUGUCCGCCGUGCUGUCUAUUAUGACCCUGAGACUGGAAAGGAGGAUCCUUCGAAGAGUGGUGUGUGCAGCAAUUUCCUCUGCAACUCAAAGCCUGGAGACAAAGUUCAGAUCACUGGUAUGGCCCUGCUAAUUUGGUGGAAAGACUGAGAAACUUGUUAUUUUUUGUUGUAUCAUUUAUUUAUUUGUUUAUUUCCUUUGUUUUAGCUAACCAAGGAUGCUCUGGUUUCGUGUUUUGAUGCUUAAUUAUUGAUAUACUGUUAUUAAACAACAAACUAUUCAAGUUGUUUUUUGACUUGACUAAAGCAAAAUCAUAAUCAAUUUAACUGAAAUUCCUAAAUUAUUUUUGGAGUUUAAGUUAAAAUCUUGUUUUAAGCACAAAAAAAAACCUUUUGAUUGUUGACUUUUUACUCAAGGUUGAUUUAUUCAUGAGCUACUUUUAGAUUUAAAUCAAAGUCUUCUUUUAAACUAAUAUUAUGACACUGCUAUCAAAUAUACCAUUCAAUUUAAAAGCAUCUGGCUUAAAGUAAAAAAAAAUUUCAUGACUUUGAGCAAUCUAUAACUCAUGCCAAACAAUCUCUUAGUCUCCAAAUUGCUGGUAAAACACAUGAAAUGUUGUUAGGAUUGUCUCGCCUGCUUCUUGGAAUGGGCUAGUGGAUAUAAUUUGCAUCACAUGAUGAUUUAUUAGCCAUUAACUGUCCUAGAAUAUCUUUGGCAGGACCUUCUGGCAAGAUAAUGCUUUUACCUGAGGAUGACCCAAAUGCCACCCACAUAAUGAUUGCUACUGGCACUGGCGUGGCUCCAUUUAGAGGUUAUCUCCGGCGAAUGUUCAUGGAGGAUGUCCCAACAUACAAGUUUGGUGGUCUUGCGUGGCUUUUCCUUGGGGUGGCCAACAAUGACAGUCUCCUCUAUGAUGAGGAAUUUGCCAAAUAUCUUCAGGAUAACCCGGACCAUUUCCGGUAUGACAAGGCACUCAGUAGAGAACAAAAGAACAAGAGUGGAGGCAAGAUGUACGUGCAGGAUAAGAUUGAGGAAUACAGUGAUGAGAUCUUCAAACUCUUGGAUGAUGGAGCGCACAUCUAUUUCUGUGGACUCAAAGGAAUGAUGCCUGGGAUCCAAGAUACGCUGAAGAAAGUUGCGGAACAGAGAGGAGAGAAGUGGGAUGAAAAGCUCUCACAGCUUAAAAAGAAGAAACAAUGGCAUGUUGAAGUGUACUGAUAUUGCAUCUUUAUGAGCUUCGAGACAGCAGCAGCAGUGUGGUCCUGUUAGGUAAUGUGGCAUUUUUCUGUUGUUGGUCAGCAUCACAUGAACUUGAUUAGAUGAAACCAUUCAUCUGUGCUGUUAAAUAAUGAAAUGGAUUAAAACAAAUUAGAAACCUUUUGUUUGGUAUUGAUAAAUGAUUCUUGUAUCCUCUCAACGCAAGUUGUCAUUUGCUGUGUCAAGUAUCAACCGUGGAGGUGAAGUCUGUCGCUUGUAGUGGCUGAAAGGGCAGCAUCUGUCAUAAACUCGUAACGAUUAUAUAAAUGCACUGGCUUGGUUUGGAAUCCAAGGACUCUCUGGUGUUCCGGCCCAUAUGGAGGCUUCUCUUUUUCAAGCAUUUUACUUUUGUUUUACCAUUGACCUUCCUUCCUCGCCCAAAAAAAUGUGUUUAAGUAUUAAAGUACUCUUUUUCAACUUGUUUGGGAGUUUGGUAAUGUAAUUGUGAUUAUUUUUUAAAAGUAUUUUUAUUUAGAAAUGUAUUAAAAUAAUAUUUUUUUAUUUUUUAAAAAUUAUUUUUAAUAUCAACAUAAAUAAUCUGAAAAUACUAAUUUGAAAUAAAGAAAAAAAUUUAAUUUUUUUUUAAAAAAUUAGAAGUGUUUAAAAUGUAAAAACAAAUAGGAUAAAAAAUUUUUUUGUUUUUUUUUUUAGGAUAAUUAAUGGAGGAAAGAGUUGAUGGUUAUUUGUGAUUGUUUUUAUAAAAAAUAAUUUAAAAUAAAAUUAAAUUUUUUAAAAAUACUGAUAAAAUAUAAAAGCAAAUAACCCCUAAAUUUAUAAAUGUCUGUGUUCAUCAAAGCCAUCACUCAAAUCCAUCUAGUACCUAAGCCCAACAAACACUUUGCUUCCCUUUUAUCGUUUUUUUGUUUUCUUUUUGGAAAUUAUUGGGAGGUAAGGUGGGAGAUAGUGACAUUAAUGCUUAUUGUUUUUGGAAAGGAAAGGAAAAGGGAUAAUUACGGAUGGAAGGUGGAAUAGAGUUCUCCCCGUCUGGUUGGUUGAUGUAACCCAUUCCUUACUUCCACCUCAUUUUGUUCAAUCCGAGCAAGCGGUAGAAUCAGAAGAUAAAUCCCUAGUUGGAGGUGCGGAUAGGUUGGAUAAAAUUCAGUUUUUUUAAAAAAAUUAAAUUAAGAUGAUGAUUUUUAUUUUGAUUGUUUAAAUACUUUUAUAUAAUUUAUGUUAUUACUAAUAUUUGUUUAUUUAUUACCCUUGAUUUGGAUAAUAUAUAGCAAAAUCAGUAUAAUAUUUUCUAUAUAAGAUAACUUAAUUAUUUUAAGUUUAAAAAUCUUUUACACAACAGUCAUAUAAGCUUUUCCAUGGAUGCAAGUGAUCUCUUUAUAUGUAAUUUUCAUAUUGGUUAGUUCAACAUACAUGUCAUCUGAUAAGCAUCUAUAUAUUAGUUUUAGAUAUCUCUUAUACUUCAGCUUAUGAGAACAAUUGAUUCUUUUCAUAAAAUAAAAAAUAUAAUAUGUGUCAGCAUCAACAACUCGAAUUAAUGUCCAAUGUUAAUAAAGCAUUAACUAGAAAUAUUUAAGAAUAAUAAUUUGAUACAAUAGAAAUCUCAUAAUUAUAAUUUUAUAAUUUUCUUUACAAAAUAUUUUUGUCCCAAAAUUUUUAUUUUCAUUCUAGAUUCAUUAAUUAAAUAUUUCAUGAAUAUUAAAGAUGAAUAAACUUUUAUUAAAAAUUAAAUAUUUUUAUAUAAAUAAAGUCAAUGUCAUGUGUAACUAAUCAAUUGACUACAAAAUAUAUUCACUAACAUAAUGACAUUUAUAUUGAUUUAUCCCAUGUUAGAGAUUUACUCUUUUUUUUUUUAUCUUUAUAUUAGGUGCAAGUAUAACAUAUUCAAUGUACAUCUUAUAUUAAAUUCCAUGAUAUGAAAUUCCAAUUUAUUUAGGUAUAUCCUGAGCAUUUCAAUCCUCCAAAGGUCAUUUUGGAUAAAUUGUGAAAUUUUAAAACAAAAUGCUUAUUAUUUUGUACAAUAUUUGGACUUUUUGGAUAUUAUUAAUUUGAUUUUAAGUUUUUUUUUUAGUUUGAAAUUAUGUGGUUAUUUGUGUUAAAUUGUGAGAUUAUAUUUUGGAUUGAUAUUGCUUUUUUAAACAUUAUAUUGGUGCAAGAGUUAUGUUUGGAUUUAUUUUAAUUUAUUUGAAUUGACAUGAAAUUUGAACGAAUUAAGUGAAAUUAAUAAAAUUAUGGUUGAUGUUUUUUGGUUUUGGUUUUGAGUUGAUGAAUGAUAAUUUAUUUUGAAUUGAUAUCGUGGUUAAAAUAACAUUGAUAAAAACAUGUUAUUUGUGUCUUGCUAAACAAGUCUUCGUCCAGUUUUUAAUAAAUUUUUAAUUUUGAAAAAAUUAUUUUGCAAUUAAUUUUGAAUUUCCUAUUUUUUUGUACCCUCACAUAUUAAUAUUUGGAUAUAGUAACUAAUUUAUUAAAGUCGUGAGAACAUGGCCUAUAUUUUAAAAAUAUCAAAAAAAAAUUAUUUUGUUAGUCUCAAUAUCAAGGAUUACGAACUUAUACGUAAGAUGUAUUCUCAAUAUUAAAAAAUAUAUAUAAUUUUUUUACUAUAGAGUGAACAGGCUUUAGCUAGAUAAAAUAAUGAUCUCGUUAUCAAUAAUGACUUUUUUUAAAUUUUAAAUAUACUAACAAUUAAAAAACGCAACAAUAUCUUGGUUUGUAUAAGACAAAUAAACAAUCCCGUGUACAUUAGGUAAUGUGUACUAAUAGUAAUGCCUUUUUUUUAUAUACUAGUUUUUUUAUAUAGAUCUUAAAACUAGUUAGGGUUUUUAGUUACUAAAAUAUUAAAUUACAACUCAUUCUUUUUUCCUUCUAAAAUCAAACAAGAAUUCCUUAUUUUUUUUAUAUUACCAAAGAAAUCCCAAUCCGAAAGAACGAUAAUUGCACAUGGGCGACAUUGAUAAUUCUUACACAUUCAUUUAUUUGUGUUAGAUUUUUUUUAUCCAACCCGUGAAGCCUUGUAAAUUGAUUAGUUAUAUCCUAAAUUAAUUUUAGAUAUAUUUGAGAAAUACUAAUACAUAUUAUAAGUUAGUAUUUAAUUACUUCUCAUAAUAAAAAAAACAAAAAAAAAAACAAAUGAAACAUAUUUCAUUAUAUUUUCUUGUUUAAUAAUAUAAAAAUUCACAUGAAAACUAUUUUAAAAAUAAAUUAAUAUUUUAUUUUUCUAUUUAUAUUUUUUAACUAAAUAAUUUUCUAUAUUUAUUGUUGUAUUUUAAAAUACAAACCAAAACGUAACUUGGAAAAGAUUAAAUACCCCAUCAUUAUUGGAAAAACUGGUGAUAACAAAGUACUGGAUACAAACACGUGGAAGAUGCUGACGUGCUUAUUAGGUGACAAGUUAUGUAUAGUUCAUUUUAACAGUGCUUAAUUACUCGGUCUAAACAGUUGGCUAAAAAUUAUUAUUUUUUAUAUUUUAAUUGUUUUCAAUUAUUAACAUUAAAAAUAAAAUUUUAAAAAAUAAUAAAAAAUAUUAUUUUAAUAUAUUUUAAAAUAAAAAUCACUCUAAAACAACUCUGCAACUCUCUCAUUCAACUCGUAUAUUGUGUUUUAAGCAAUUAAACAAUUAAAUCUUAUUACUCUCAUCAAUAUUAAUAAUUGAAUCAAAUUUCAGAUUUCUGUCAUUCAAUAUAUUUGUAUGUAGAUCAUUCCAAUUCUUUCUCUCUGACUCUAAUUUUCAAUUCCAGUUUUACUUAAAACUUGAAUUAGAAAAAGAAAAACAUUCUGUACAAGGAGCAGUUGCACAGAUUUUCCGAGUCAUAAACAUUCUCUACGGUACUAUCCAUUUCGCAAGGUUAGACCUUCUUCUUCAUCUUCUUAUACUUACCAUCUGUUUGUUUCUCUAGUAAAUCGUGGAAUCUCGCAAAUCACCAUCUCCAUCUCUCUUAUAUUUUUCUUUUUCCUAUUUUCCUGCGUUUUGUCAGCAUCCAAACAGAUCGUUGAGCUACUUUUAUGUUCGGUGUUAUUAUGAUUCUUUUUUGAAUUUUUGAAGUGUUCAUUGGGUCUGUCAUGCUGUUAUUAUUAUUUGUAAUUUUUGUUUUUGAGACAUUAGGAUCGGUGGGUUCUAUGUGAUGGUUUGGUUUUGGAAUUCUAAUUUAGGUUGAAUUCUAUCUAGUUUUUUCAUUUUUUUAGUGGGGCCAAUCAUGUCAACUUUAAUUUUUUUUUUUGGGGGGGGAUACAGGCGUGCUUAACAGUAGCAUACUAAUAAGGCAAGGCAGAUCACGUCGCUAGUCAGGGCGUUUUGUUGCUGAUGUUUGGCAUUUCAUAGAUUUCCUGCAUCGUCCUCCUGCUGGAUGAUCUUCUACAUGGAAGUCUACAGUUUUAUAGUUCAGAUUGGAUUUAAUGAUGAAUGCAAGGUGAAAUAAGAAAUUUGAUGAUUGUGUCAGGAAUCGGCUUUUUGGAUUAUACUAUUCUAUUUUCAACGACGAGGAGAUUUUACAGCUUAAAUAUUGUUAUUCACGGUGUUGAAUUAUUGACCAUAAACAGGAUAUUUAUCCAAUUCAAUGUAAAGCUUAAAAUUUUAUCAUUUCUCUGUGAUUGAAUCUUGAGAUAAUGCAAGCAAAUAACAAUGCAUCAAUAGAACUGGGAAAACAGUGAUAGACAUUGCCUUUCAUUUUGUGAGGAUAUAACAGGCGACUAGUGACAAUACCCAAGAGUGGUGAUUGUUGGAGAUACAGCAUCAGAAAGUGUUUGUGGCCUAGCAUUUUGUGAGUACCUGAUGCUGGUCCGGCACAUUACAUGUUGAUGCCUGCUCAGGUUCGUGGGCUUGUAGCACUGCUAGAGAGCGUUCUACAUGCUUCAUCAUGGAGG